RNAcentral lists this unclassified non-coding RNA (424 nucleotides) under uncultured Helotiales. RNAcentral describes it as "sequence contains ITS2". The stretch from base 61 to 214 matches the Rfam family "5.8S ribosomal RNA". The record is from RNAcentral. Lineage: Eukaryota; Fungi; Ascomycota; Leotiomycetes; Helotiales.
AACUUUCGGCAACGGAUCACGUGACGCUAAAACUUUUGGCAACGGAUCUCGUGACGCUAAAACUUUUGACAAUGGAUCACUUGGUUCUGGCAUCGAUGAAGAACGCAGCGAAAUGCGAUAAGUAAUGUGAAUUGCAGAAUUCAGUGAAUCAUCGAAUCUUUGAACGCACAUUGCGCCCCUUGGUAUUCCGAGGGGCAUGCCUGUUCGAGCGUCAUUUAAACCAAAUCCAGCUUGCUGGGUCUUGGGCUUUCGCCUCUGGGCGGGCCUCAAAAUCAGUGGCGGUGCUGCCAGGCUCUAAGCGUAGUAAUUCUUCUCGCUACAGGGUCCUGGUGGAGGCUUGCCAAUAACCCCAAAUAUUUUAAAGGUUGACCUCGGAUCAGGUAGGGAUACCCGCUGAACUUAAGCAUAUCAAUAAGCGGAGGCU